Molecule: ribosomal RNA, 774 nt
Filed under: uncultured Neocallimastigales
Lineage: Eukaryota; Fungi; Neocallimastigomycota; Neocallimastigomycetes; Neocallimastigales
Description: partial large subunit ribosomal RNA
Rfam family: Eukaryotic large subunit ribosomal RNA
Source: RNAcentral
UACGACUACAUAUCAGGCAUAUCAAUAAGCGGAGGAAAAGAAACUAACUAGGAUUCCCUCAGUAACGGCGAGUGAAGCGGGAAGAGCUCAAAUUUGAAAUCUUCAAGGUUCUACCUUGACGAAUUGUAGUUUAAAGAAGUGUUUUCUGUUGGAGUUUUGGUAAAAGUUCUUUGGAAUAGGACAUCAUAGAGGGUGAGAAUCCCGUAUUUGACCAUUAUUUCCAGCUUUGUGAUACACUUUCAAAGAGUCGGAUUGUUUGGGAAUGCAGUCCAAAAUGGGUGGUAAAUUUCAUCUAAAGCUAAAUAUUGGCGAGAGACCGAUAGCGAACAAGUACCGUGAGGGAAAGAUGAAAAGAACUUUGAAAAGAGAGUUAAACAGUACGUGAAAUUGUCAAAAGGGAAGCGUUUGACACCAGUGUUGUUUAGUUGAAAAUCAAUUCAAUAGUUUUUGAUUCUAAGUAGUAUUGACUUCAUCAGCUUGCUGCUUUCUUCUCAGAAAUUAUUGAAUGCACUUUUCAGUUAACAAGUCAACAUCAAUUUCUUUUGUUGUAAAAGGGUAAGAGGAAGGUGGCUUGCGCUUCGGCUCAAGUGUUUAUAGCCUUUUAUCUCUGCAGUCGGAGAGAUUGAGGUCUGCAGCGUAGACUCUUCGGGGUUAGAUACGUCGGUGCUAAGCUAUAGCUUAUCAUAGACAACUUGUUGACUAUGUUUAGUCAUGUGGCUUACCCGCUGGCGCUAUUUUACCUACGCUUAGGAUGUUGAGCGCAUGUCUCUCUCU